RNAcentral lists this ribosomal RNA (253 nucleotides) under uncultured bacterium. Its description in RNAcentral is "partial 16S ribosomal RNA". It matches the Rfam family "Bacterial small subunit ribosomal RNA", at positions 524 to 776 of the family's 1533-position model. The record is from RNAcentral.
UACGUAGGCAGCAAGCGUUGUUCGGAGUUACUGGGCGUAAAGAGUGCGUAGGUGGUGCCCUAAGUCUGUUGUGAAAUCUCCCGGCUUAACUGGGAGGGUGCGGUGGAAACUGGGGUGCUUGAGUGUGGGAGAGGUAAGCGGAAUUCCUGGUGUAGCGGUGAAAUGCGUAGAUACCAGGAGGAACACCGGUGGUGUAGACGGCUUACUGGACCACGACUGACACUGAGGCACGAAAGCGUGGGUAGCAAACAGG